AUCUAGCUGGCUCAGUUGGUAAAGCAUGCAGCUCUUGAUCACAGGAUCAUGAGUUCAAGCCUCAUGUUGGGUG
This 73-nucleotide transfer RNA is filed under the name Canis lupus familiaris (dog). It matches the Rfam family "tRNA". Rfam says of the family: Transfer RNA (tRNA) molecules are approximately 80 nucleotides in length. Their secondary structure includes four short double-helical elements and three loops (D, anti-codon, and T loops). Lineage: Eukaryota; Metazoa; Chordata; Mammalia; Carnivora; Canidae. RNAcentral also lists the same sequence under 3 other names. The record is from Rfam by way of RNAcentral.